AAUAACAAGGAUCCCCUAGUAACUGCGAGUGAAGCGGGAAAAGCUCAAAUUUAAAAUCUGGCGGUCUUUGGCCGUCCGAGUUGUAGUCUGGAGAAGUGCUUUCCGCGCUGGACCGUGUACAAGUCUCUUGGAACAGAGCGUCAUAGAGGGUGAGAAUCCCGUCUUUGACACGGACUACCAGUGCUUUGUGAUGCGCUCUCAAAGAGUCGAGUUGUUUGGGAAUGCAGCUCAAAAUGGGUGGUGAAUUCCAUCUAAAGCUAAAUAUUGGCGAGAGACCGAUAGCGAACAAGUACCGUGAGGGAAAGAUGAAAAGCACUUUGGAAAGAGAGUUAAACAGUACGUGAAAUUGCUGAAAGGGAAACGCUUGAAGUCAGUCGCGUCGUCCGGAACUCAGCCUUGCUUCGGCUUGGUGCACUUUCCGGAUGACGGGCCAGCAUCGAUUUUGACCGCCGGAAAAGGGUAGGAGAAAUGUGGCACCUUCGGGUGUGUUAUAGUCUCCUAUCGCAUACGGCGGUUGGGAUCGAGGAACGCAGCGCGCCUUAUGGCUGGGGUUCGCCCACAUUCGCGCUUAGGAUGCUGGCAUAAUGGCUUUAAACGACCCGUCUUGAAACACGGACCAAGGAGUCUAACAUACCUGCGAGUGUUUGGGUGGAAAACCCGAGCGCGUAAUGAAAGUGAAAGUUGAGACCUCUGUCGUGGAGGGCAUCGACGCCCGGACCUGACGUUCUCUGACGGAUCCGCGGUAGAGCAUGUAUGUUGGGACCCGAAAGAUGGUGAACUAUGCCUGAAUAGGGUGAAGCCAGAGGAAACUCUGGUGGAGGCUCGUAGCGAUUCUGACGUGCAAAUCGAUCGUCAAAUUUGGGUAUAGGGGCGAAAGACUAAUCGAACCAUCUAGUAGCUGGUUCCU
Molecule: ribosomal RNA, 907 nt
Filed under: Trametes polyzona
Lineage: Eukaryota; Fungi; Basidiomycota; Agaricomycetes; Polyporales; Polyporaceae
Description: eukaryotic LSU rRNA
Rfam family: Eukaryotic large subunit ribosomal RNA
Source: RNAcentral